This 441-nucleotide ribosomal RNA is filed under the name uncultured bacterium. Its description in RNAcentral is "partial 16S ribosomal RNA". It matches the Rfam family "Bacterial small subunit ribosomal RNA", at positions 338 to 795 of the family's 1533-position model. The record is from RNAcentral.
CCUACGGGGAGCAGCAGUGGGGGAUAUUGCACAAUGGGGGAAACCCUGAUGCAGCGACGCCGCGUGGGUGAAGAAGUAUUUCGGUAUGUAAAGCCCUAUCAGCAGGGAAGAAAGAAGACGGUACCUGACUAAGAAGCCCCGGCUAACUACGUGCCAGCAGCCGCGGUAAUACGUAGGGGGCGAGCGUUAUCCGGAUGCACUGGGUGUAAAGGGAGCGUAGACGGCCGUGCAAGCCAGGAGUGAAAGCCCGGGGCCCAACCCCGGGACUGCGCUUGGAACUGGGCGGCUGGAGUGCGGGAGGGGCAGGCGGAAUUCCUGGUGUAGCGGUGAAAUGCGUAGAUAUCAGGAGGAACACCGGCGGCGAAGGCGGCCUGCUGGACCGCGACUGACGUUGAGGCUCGAAAGCGUGGGGAGCGAACAGGAUUAGAUACCCCUGUAGUC